UACGGGGGGAGCAAGCGUUGUUCGGAUUUACUGGGCGUAAAGGGCGCGUAGGCGGCCUCCGCAAGUCAGUUGUGAAAUCUCCGAGCUUAACUCGGAAAGGUCAACUGAUACUGCGGGGCUAGAGUGCAGAAGGGGCAACUGGAAUUCUCGGUGUAGCGGUGAAAUGCGUAGAUAUCGAGAGGAACACCUGCGGCGAAGGCGGGUUGCUGGGCUGACACUGACGCUGAGGCGCGAAAGCUAGGGGAGCGAACGGG
RNAcentral lists this ribosomal RNA (254 nucleotides) under uncultured bacterium. Its description in RNAcentral is "partial 16S ribosomal RNA". It matches the Rfam family "Bacterial small subunit ribosomal RNA", at positions 524 to 776 of the family's 1533-position model. The record is from RNAcentral.